Molecule: long non-coding RNA, 1282 nt
Organism: Lagopus leucura (white-tailed ptarmigan)
Lineage: Eukaryota; Metazoa; Chordata; Aves; Galliformes; Phasianidae
Exons: 3
Source: RefSeq, a predicted model, not a curated record
AUAAGCGAGCGCGGAGAAAGGUGUACGUCCGUGGGUCAGCGCGGAGCUGCGUGCACUGCGGGUGCCCACGAGGUCACCUCGGAGGGGGAGUGGGUGAGCACUGCUCUCCCCUGCCGGCCUCCAGAUGUCUUCCGAGCGCAGUGUGGAGUCCUUUCUGUGAAGCACUUCUUUCUGCAUAAAUUGGUACCAGUAAUGACUCCUUCCUCUGUCCUGUGCUGCAAGUAACUAAUCCUUCUGUAUCAAUAAAGAUGCCUGCACAACCCAUUAGGACAUGCGAAGUUAGUUCUGAGACCUUGGAGGGGAACCUUGGAGUGAUGUGAAAACCUUCUGCUCUACAGUAUCAGGUACCGAGAGGCCGCUAUCAAGUCACCUGAAGCCUUCUGUAGGCUCAACAGCCCCAGCUCUCUCAGCCUGUCCUCAUAGGAGAGGCAUUUCCUCCCUAGGAUCAUUUUUAUGGCCCUUUUCUGGACAUGAUUCAACAGGUCCAUGUUCCUCCUCUACACAGGACUCCACAUCUGGACCCAGUACUCCAGGAAAGCAUCUCUAUUCAGAGGCAGACCGUGGCUGCCUACCUGCGAAAAGGUUGUGAGCAAAAGAGGCACAACUACGCCUGACCUUGCUCAGAUGAGCCAUCGGGACCACAAACCAAUCAUUUCUCAAUGAAUAAAGGCCGGAGAUGCAAGUUGACUGCACUUUCAUAUCACCACUGGGAACGCAGAAAUGUCUGUCAGGUAUCUUCUGGAAAAUUACAAUGACAGCUCAAGAUUAUGAUAGGAGUGUUCUAAAGAGAAUCUGUUCUGUUGAUUUUCUUACUUCUUGAUGACUUGAGCAUUACUUUGGUCACUAAACUAAUUCAUAUUUUCAAGACAUCCUGUUAGCAGUUCAUUUUGAUGAAGGGGAGAACUACUACUAUAACUAAUAGCUCAUUUCUAUCCCACAUGUCACGCUGUAAAACUUCUGUUUUAUCCAGUUUCAAAAAUAGCUACUUCAACUGUGUCAAAAAAACAUAUGGCAAGCAUCACCCCCACACACUGCAGCCUAUUGUCAUCACUCAUUUAUGUCAAAGGUAAUUAAUAUCAUAGGCACUCCUUAAUCUUUCAGAAUGGGCUGUAAGGAAUUGCAGUUAGAAAUACUUCCCAGCAGCUGUCCCUGCAUUUCCUCUAAUUGUGAGAUCUCGUUAUCCUUCUCAUUUAGAAAGUCAAAAUGCAAAAAUCUCUAGAUGGCAUUAAUGAGUGUUUCUCUUUAGCUUUUUAUUCUAUUGGUACACAGCAGUUUUUCCUCA